AUUCAAGAUUUCAUUAAUAUAAUUUAUUUCUAUUAUCCAUAUUACAAUGUUUUUUUCUAGCAGUGUGUGGUUGAGCUGAGACUGAAAAUCCUCUCUCUAAUGGCCGCGGCUCUGAUCACUGUAUUGAUUGGAACCCACCGGAGUGAGAUGCACCACCUGAUUUCCUACGCCGAGAAAGUCUCUGGUAAAAUUCUGCCCUCCAAUUUCAUCCUUAGCUCCCCCCAUUAAUGGCUUCAUCGGACGGCCAUCCGAUAAGACCGCGGCAGCAGCGGCUGAGUUGUUCGUUCCAUAUGCCGCCCCGGUGGUGGAGGCAUUGAAGAGAAUCGGCGGCCCGGCUGGGGUUCUGGUGGGCCCCAUUUGGGCGGCAUUUUGGAGGAGUGCGGUGGCGGACAUGUGGGGCGCCGCUGCGUACGAGGAGGCCGUCGUUAGCGGCUCCGACAAAAAAAGGUGGUGAUUUUCCGAGAAGAAUGUAGGGUGGUCGGAGAAGCCGUGGAUGGCAGUGGCCGAAGAGAAAAAGGGGUUAGGAGUAUUGGGAGGAGGGUCGAGCCAGAGCGGGAGCUGCGGUGGCGACGACAGCGGAAGAGGAUGGGGCUUGUGGUCGCCGUCGUGGUCGGAGAUAAUGUUAGGAAAAUUGUGGGCAAGGGAGGUUUGAUCGGCAGCGACAGUGGCGGUGACGAAGUUUGGUUGGAGAAGUAGUGAAGAAGAAGUAGGAG
Molecule: unclassified non-coding RNA, 713 nt
Filed under: Hevea brasiliensis (rubber tree)
Lineage: Eukaryota; Viridiplantae; Streptophyta; Magnoliopsida; Malpighiales; Euphorbiaceae
Source: RNAcentral